CGGGGAAUAUUGGGCAAUGGGGGCAACCCUGACCCAGCGACGCCGCGUGGGGGAAGACGGCCUUCGGGUUGUAAACCUCUUUUGUACGGGAAGAAGGAAGUGACGGUACUGUACGAAUAAGUCCCGGCUAACUACGUGCCAGCAGUCGCGGCAAUACGUAGGGGACGAGCGUUGUCCGGAAUUACUGGGCGUAAAGGGCGCGCAGGCUGUGCUGCAAGUCAGCUGUUAAAUGUCUGGGCUUAACCCGGGCAUGCGGUUGAGACUGCAGUGCUGGAGUGCUGUAGAGGCAAGUGGAAUUCCCAGUGUAGCGGUGAAAUGCGUAGAUAUUGGGAAGAACACCGGUGGCGAAGGCGACUUGCUGGGCAGCAACUGACGCUGAGGCGCGAAAGCCAGGAGAGCAAACGG
Molecule: ribosomal RNA, 405 nt
Filed under: uncultured bacterium
Lineage: Bacteria
Description: bacterial SSU rRNA
Rfam family: Bacterial small subunit ribosomal RNA
Source: RNAcentral